RNAcentral lists this ribosomal RNA (454 nucleotides) under Entrophospora etunicata. Its description in RNAcentral is "LSU rRNA". It matches the Rfam family "Eukaryotic large subunit ribosomal RNA", at positions 358 to 668 of the family's 3401-position model. The record is from RNAcentral. Lineage: Eukaryota; Fungi; Glomeromycota; Glomeromycetes; Entrophosporales; Entrophosporaceae.
GGAAAGAUGAAAAGAACUUUGAAAAGAGAGUUAAACAGUACGUGAAAUUGUUGAAAGGGAAACGAUUGAAGUCAGUCGUGCUGGCGCGAAAUCAACCAUCUCGUCUUGAGGUCGCAUGGCGCGACGAGCCUCAAAACCGUCACGAAGCGUGAACUCUUGACGAAAAGGUGCACUUUCGUGUCCGCUGGUUAACAUCAAUUUCGACCGUCAUAAAAAGGCUGGAGGGAUGUGGCUCCUUCGGGAGUGUUAUAACCUUUAGCGGAAUGUGGUGUUCGGGAUUGAGGAUUGCAACGAAUACCUUCAGGGCUGUUCCACCUGGCUUCUCAUUGGUAUCCUGGUGACGACAGCUUGCUGACUUCGCUAGGAUUCGCCUCUGAACAGGCUAGAGUGUGAGCAAAUUCGUUAAGGAUGUUAACGUAAUGGCUUUAAACGACCCGUCUUGAAACACGGACCA